Molecule: ribosomal RNA, 483 nt
Filed under: uncultured bacterium
Lineage: Bacteria
Description: partial 16S ribosomal RNA
Rfam family: Bacterial small subunit ribosomal RNA
Source: RNAcentral
AUUGAACGCUGGCGGCAUGCCUAACACAUGCAAGUCGAACGGCAGCGCGGGGGCAACCCUGGCGGCGAGUGGCGGACGGGUGAGGAAUGCAUAGGAAUCUGCCCGGUUGUGGGGGAUAACGUAGGGAAACUUACGCUAAUACCGCAUACGACCUUCGGGUGAAAGUGGGGGACCUUCGGGCCUCACGCGAUCGGAUGAGCCUAUGCCCGAUUAGCUAGUUGGCGGGGUAAGAGCCCACCAAGGCGACGAUCGGUAGCUGGUCUGAGAGGAUGAUCAGCCACACUGGGACUGAGACACGGCCCAGACUCCUACGGGAGGCAGCAGUGGGGAAUAUUGGACAGUGGGCGCAAGCCUGAUCCAGCAAUGCCGCGUGUGUGAAGAAGGCCUUCGGGUUGUAAAGCACUUUUGUUCGGGAAGAAAUCCGUGUGGUUAAUACCCGUACGGGAUGACGGUACCGAAAGAAUAAGCACCGGCUAACUUCGU